UACAGAGGUGGCAAGCGUUGUUCGGAUUUAUUGGGCGUAAAGGGUCCGUAGGCGGCCUAGAAAGUCGGAUGUGAAAGCCCACAGCUUAACUGUGGAAUGGCAUUCGAAACUGUCGGGCUCGAGUGUGAAAGGGGUGAAGGGAAUUCCCGGUGUAAGGGUGAAAUCUGCAGAGAUCGGGAAGAACACCAGUCGCGAAGGCGCUUCACUGGUUCACAACUGACGCUGAGGGACGAAAGCUAGGGGAGCAAACGGG
RNAcentral lists this ribosomal RNA (253 nucleotides) under uncultured bacterium. Its description in RNAcentral is "partial 16S ribosomal RNA". It matches the Rfam family "Bacterial small subunit ribosomal RNA", at positions 524 to 776 of the family's 1533-position model. The record is from RNAcentral.